This 253-nucleotide ribosomal RNA is filed under the name uncultured bacterium. RNAcentral describes it as "partial 16S ribosomal RNA". It matches the Rfam family "Bacterial small subunit ribosomal RNA", at positions 524 to 776 of the family's 1533-position model. The record is from RNAcentral.
UACGAAGGGGGCUAGCGUUGUUCGGAAUUACUGGGCGUAAAGCGCACGUAGGCGGACUACUAAGUCAGGGGUGAAAUCCCGGGGCUCAACCCCGGAACUGCCUUUGAUACUGAUAGUCUCGAGUCCGGAAGAGGUGAGUGGAAUUCCGAGUGUAGAGGUGAAAUUCGUAGAUAUUCGGAGGAACACCAGUGGCGAAGGCGGCUCACUGGUCCGGUACUGACGCUGAGACGCGGAAGCGUGGGGAGCAAACAGG